RNAcentral lists this ribosomal RNA (253 nucleotides) under uncultured bacterium. RNAcentral's name for it is "partial 16S ribosomal RNA". It matches the Rfam family "Bacterial small subunit ribosomal RNA", at positions 524 to 776 of the family's 1533-position model. The record is from RNAcentral.
UACGGAGGGUGCAAGCGUUGCUCGGAAUUACUGGGCGUAAAGCGCACGCAGGCGGCUUGGUAAGUCGGAUGUGAAAGCCCGGAGCUCAACUCCGGAACUGCAUUCGAUACUGCCUUGCUUGAGUUCGAGAGAGGGUGGUGGAAUUCCUGGUGUAGAGGUGAAAUUCGUUGAUAUCAGGAGGAACACCGGCGGCGAAGGCGGCCACCUGGCUCGAUACUGACGCUCAUGUGCGAAAGCGUGGGGAGCAAACAGG